RNAcentral lists this ribosomal RNA (244 nucleotides) under uncultured Lactobacillus sp. RNAcentral describes it as "partial 16S ribosomal RNA". It matches the Rfam family "Bacterial small subunit ribosomal RNA", at positions 118 to 355 of the family's 1533-position model. The record is from RNAcentral. Lineage: Bacteria; Bacillati; Bacillota; Bacilli; Lactobacillales; Lactobacillaceae.
UGGGUAACCUGCCCAAGAGAUCGGGAUAACACCUGGAAACAGAUGCUAAUACCGGAUAACAACAGAUGAUGCCUAUCAACUGUUUAAAAGAUGGUUCUGCUAUCACUCUUGGAUGGACCUGCGGUGCAUUAGCUAGUUGGUAGGGUAACGGCCUACCAAGGCGAUGAUGCGUAGCCGAGUUUAGAGACUGAUCGGCCACAUUGGGACUGAGACACGGCCCAAACUCCUACGGGAGGCAGCAGCA